RNAcentral lists this ribosomal RNA (529 nucleotides) under uncultured bacterium. RNAcentral describes it as "bacterial SSU rRNA". It matches the Rfam family "Bacterial small subunit ribosomal RNA", at positions 777 to 1308 of the family's 1533-position model. The record is from RNAcentral.
AAUAGAUACCCCGGUAGUCCACGCCGUAAACGAUGUCGACUUGGAGGUUGUUCCCUUGAGGAGUGGCUUCCGGAGCUAACGCGUUAAGUCGACCGCCUGGGGAGUACGGCCGCAAGGUUAAAACUCAAAUGAAUUGACGGGGGCCCGCACAAGCGGUGGAGCAUGUGGUUUAAUUCGAUGCAACGCGAAGAACCUUACCUACUCUUGACAUCCAGAGAACUUAGCAGAGAUGCUUUGGUGCCUUCGGGAACUCUGAGACAGGUGCUGCAUGGCUGUCGUCAGCUCGUGUUGUGAAAUGUUGGGUUAAGUCCCGCAACGAGCGCAACCCUUAUCCUUUGCUGCCAGCGGUUCGGCCGGGAACUCAAAGGAGACUGCCAGUAAUAAACUGGAGGAAGUGGGGAUGACGUCAAGUCAUCAUGGCCCUUACGAGUAGGGCUACACACGUGCUACAAUGGCGUAUCAAAGAGAAGCGACCUCGCGAGAGCAAGCGGACCUCAUAAAGUACGUCGUAGUCCGGAUUGGAGUCUGC